RNAcentral lists this ribosomal RNA (256 nucleotides) under Lotharella globosa. RNAcentral describes it as "partial Bacterial large subunit ribosomal RNA". It matches the Rfam family "Bacterial large subunit ribosomal RNA", at positions 20 to 284 of the family's 2925-position model. The record is from RNAcentral. Lineage: Eukaryota; Cercozoa; Chlorarachniophyceae.
UUGGGUGGAUACCUAGGUACUCAGAGACGAUGAAGGGCGUAGAAACCGACGAAAGGCUUUGUGGAGCUGGAAACAAGCUAUGAAUCAAAGAUUCCCGAUAUAGGGCAACCUUAAAAAACUUUUCGAGUAAUUCAUAAUCGAGAAAGAGACAACCUGAUGAAUUGAAACAUCUUAGUAAUCAGUGGAAAAGAAAACAAAUAUGUGUAUUCUCUUAGUAGCGGCGAGCGAAUAGAGAUUAGUCUAAACCAAGAAUAUA